This 404-nucleotide long non-coding RNA is filed under the name Elaeis guineensis (African oil palm). RNAcentral describes it as "long non-coding RNA (EGUI_LNC007021)". The record is from RNAcentral. Lineage: Eukaryota; Viridiplantae; Streptophyta; Magnoliopsida; Arecales; Arecaceae.
GAGACGGGGGGGUGACGUUGCGCCACGUGGGCAUGAGGAGGGCAUCAUGAUGAGGGAUUUGCUUUUGGGAAAGAAAGAUGCUAAAAGGAGCAGUGGAGGUGAGGUCGCAGUGUUGGGUCCGUUUGGGUCGCUAGAAAACACAGAAGUUGAGGCCAGUGUUUCACGUUAUUUGUUAAGGAUCAGGCCGUCUCAGGAUUUCAGGGGUGAUGAUGGAAAUGGGGGCAUAUUCUGGAAAAUGGUCUUUGGUUCAAGUUGAGCUCCAUCCAGCCUUCUAAUAGGUUAAUACUUUUCUGUCUUUUUAGUUGUUUUUAUCAGUGGGCCAAUCUUUGUAGUUAGAGGUGGAAAUCAAAUCAUGAUAAAUGCUAUGUGUUAAAUAUCUAAGCUUCGUAUCAAAUGGUUACAAG